GGAAUAUUGGACAAUGGAGGCAACUCUGAUCCAGCCAUGCCGCGUGAAGGAAUAAGGCCCUAUGGGUUGUAAACUUCUUUUAGACGGGACAAAACCCCUUUACGUGUAAAGGGUUGAUGGUACUGUCAGAAUAAGCAUCGGCUAACUUCGCGCCAGCAGCCGCGGUAAUACGAAGGAUGCAAGCGUUCUCCGGAAUUAUUGGGUUUAAAGGGUGCGUAGGCGGACUAAUAAGUCAGUGGUGAAAGCCUGCAGCUUAACUGCAGAUUUACCAUUGAUACUGUUGGAGUUGAGUACAGUUGAGAAAGACGAAAAGUGUCAUGUAACGGUUAAAUGCUUAGAUAUGACACAGAACACCGAUUGCGAAGAUAGCUUGCUAGGCUGUAACUGAGGCUGGGGCACGAAAGCGUGGGGAGCAAACA
Molecule: ribosomal RNA, 419 nt
Filed under: uncultured bacterium
Lineage: Bacteria
Description: bacterial SSU rRNA
Rfam family: Bacterial small subunit ribosomal RNA
Source: RNAcentral